Small nucleolar RNA from Thalassophryne amazonica, 150 nucleotides. Lineage: Eukaryota; Metazoa; Chordata; Actinopteri; Batrachoidiformes; Batrachoididae. The record is from RefSeq and is a predicted model, not a curated record.
CUUCAGUGAUGAUACGAUGACGAGUCGGAACAGGAUCCACUCUGGUUCUGGUGCUGACUGGUUCAGAUCUAUGUUCUGUGGUUCUGGUCCAGGUCAUCAAAUCAGAAGGUCCUUCCCGGUUGAAGACAUUGAGGCAUUUGUCUGAGAAGG